Molecule: ribosomal RNA, 394 nt
Filed under: uncultured bacterium
Lineage: Bacteria
Description: bacterial SSU rRNA
Rfam family: Bacterial small subunit ribosomal RNA
Source: RNAcentral
GACGAACGCUGGCGGCGUGCUUAACACAUGCAAGUCGAGCGCUGAUGCCCUUUUGGGGGUGGAUGAGCGGCGAACGGGUGAGUAACACGUGGGUGACCUGCCCUCAGCUCUGGGAUAAGCCUGGGAAACUGGGUCUAAUACCGGAUAUGACCUUGCCUCGCACGGGGUGGGGUGGAAAGUUCUUGGGCCUUUUGGUCUGGGUUCGGUUGGGGAUGGGCCCGCGGCCUAUCAGCUUGNGGUGGGGUGAUGGCUUACCAAGGCGACGACGGGUAGCCGGCCUGAGAGGGCGACCGGCCACACUGGGACUGAGACACGGCCCAGACUCCUACGGGAGGCAGCAGUGGGGAAUAUUGCGCAAUGGGCGGAAGCCUGACGCAGCGACGCCGCGUGGGGA